CCUUUUGUUUAGAGCAUUGAUUCCAGGGACAUCCCCCCCCCCCCAGCAUCCAACCACUCCUUUUCUAAUGAAAGUUCCUUAAAUGCCCACCCCAACACAUCUUUAAAAAAAGCAAAAAAUAAGUUUUGACAAGUUUUUCCUCAUUUCUUCUGCAUCUUACCUGUGACUUUAUCAUUAGUGUGCACUGGUCUUUCCAGACUUCUGUAAAUGUACCAGGUGACCUACAAUAACUUUUGUUUUGCAUGGGAAAUGCUGUUUUUCAAAUUCAUCAUUUUCUGCAUACACGCCAUGGAACCCCCCCCGACCCAAACAAAAAUAAAACAAUCUCUAGUAGUUGCAUGACAACAAUGGUGUAGUAGUAGACAUUGAAGUCAAUUUGAGAGUUUGCAGUGUGAGAGUUGUGCAGAAGGUGGAACAUACUUGGCACUGUGGCAAUAAACAGGUGAGUUUUUUUGUGAUGAAAUCAGACAGUUUAUUGAAAUAUAUGGAGGGGUGGGGGUUUCAACUAAUGUAAUAUUGGCAGCACAUUUGUGAACCCACCCACCCCCUUUUCAGAACGCCCAGGGCAUUCUGACGCUCUGAUACAGUAAGCUGCAGGACCUCCCAAACGAGUUAAAAAACAAAAAACAAAACAAAACACUGCUUAUACUUGGAGAAAAUACAGUCCAGUGUAUUCUUGUAAUUCCAGCAACAUUCACUCAGUCCUUCCUUCCUAAACUAAAGUAUUUCUUGAAAGCAAAGGAGAGUAGAGCUAACACUGUUCUAACAGGGUUGUAAAAAAGUGAACUUGUGUUUUAAGAAGAUUUAGCACUGGAGCUUAAAUUCUACCGGCCGUUGCAGUUAAAUUUUGAAGCCUACUGUAAGACUAUUAGAUAAGCUUUAGAAGAGAUAAACAGGGUGUUCUUAGCUCAUCAGCAGCAGGCUUUUAAUCAGAAUUUUCUACAAAUCACACACUCAUUUUUUAUUUGGGAAACAUGGCAUAAAUGUCUAAUACUAGAUGAUGACUAUGUGUGUCUGCCUUACUGAGGUUUGUAGAAUCCUGCUUCACUCCUGUUGGACACAUCUUUGUGGAAUUUUAUGCACAUGCUUGGUUUUUACAUGAACGAUCAACAACCCUAAAGGUUUUUGGGAUUUUUUUAGAGAAGCCCCACUUUUUCCUCAUUGGGCCUCCCAGGUUUCUUUUACUAUAGCUUCAACCUGUAUGUUCCUGAGGUUUCUUGUUUGAGCGGGUUUAUCCCUUUGCCUUUCAUGGUCUUAGAUUGUUGACCUUUGACCUCCAGCACCCAUGGCAUAAAUGGACCACUCUUUUAUUCGAUAUGAACUCAACUGAAGAACACUAUGGAGUGACCAUGGAGUCAUCAGACUGCUGGACACAAUUUCUAACCUCACUUAUCUCCAUUUCCCAGGACCUUCUGUGGUGUAGCAAGUGUUGUUCCUGAUGAUGGGUCUCACUUGCUCCAAGCACAUACAAGACUACAAGGUCAACACUAACACUUUGACAUCAUCACAGCCACCCAGUUAGCUUACGUACAUCAUGUUCUUUAACACAAUGCUGAGAUGUUCAUGUGUUACCUGUCAUUGAGUGAGCUUUUGAAUGAUUUAUUGCUUUUUGUUCCCAGGUAGUGUAAAUACUAAACCUGUAUUGUUAAAGGCUCAUUCAAUACUUCACUUUCCAAGGACAAAAGUCAUCCACCAGACUGUAAAUAAAGAUGGACGCACUUCCAUUCACGUUCACUGUGCAAAAGUGAA
This is a long non-coding RNA of Thalassophryne amazonica, 1749 nucleotides long. RefSeq lists it as uncharacterized. Lineage: Eukaryota; Metazoa; Chordata; Actinopteri; Batrachoidiformes; Batrachoididae. The transcript has 2 exons. The record is from RefSeq and is a predicted model, not a curated record.